GAUGAACGCUGGCGGCGUGCCUAAUACAUGCAAGUCGAGCGAACGGACGAGAAGCUUGCUUCUCUGAUGUUAGCGGCGGACGGGUGAGUAACACGUGGAUAACCUACCUAUAAGACUGGGAUAACUUCGGGAAACCGGAGCUAAUACCGGAUCAUCUUUUGAACCGCAUGGUUCAAAAGUGAAAGACGGUCUUGCUGUCACUUAUAGAUGGAUCCGCGCUGCAUUAGCUAGUUGGUAGGGUGACGGCGUACCAAGGCGACGAGGCAUAGCCGACCGGAGAGGGGGGUCGGCCACACUGGAACUGAGACACGGUCCAGACGCCUACGGGAGGGAGCAGUAGGGAAUCUUCCGCAAUGGGCGAAAGCCUGACGGAGCAACGCCGCGUGAGUGAUGAAGGUCUGCGGAUCGUAAAACUCUGUUAUUAGGGAAGAACAUAUGUGUAAGUAACUGUGCACAUCUUGACGGUACCUAAUCAGAAAGCCACGGCUAACUACGUG
Molecule: ribosomal RNA, 497 nt
Filed under: uncultured bacterium
Lineage: Bacteria
Description: partial 16S ribosomal RNA
Rfam family: Bacterial small subunit ribosomal RNA
Source: RNAcentral